GACGAACGCUGGCGGCGUGCUUAACACAUGCAAGUCGAACGGAAAGGCCCUGCUUUUGUGGGGUGCUCGAGUGGCGAACGGGUGAGUAACACGUGAGUAACCUGCCCUUGACUUUGGGAUAACUUCAGGAAACUGGGGCUCAUACCGGAUAGGAGCUCCUGCUGCAUGGUGGGGGUUGGAAAGUUUCGGCGGUUGGGGAUGGACUCGCGGCUUAUCAGCUUGUUGGUGGGGUAGUGGCUUACCAAGGCUUUGACGGGUAGCCGGCCUGAGAGGGUGACCGGCCACAUUGGGACUGAGAUACGGCCCAGACUCCUACGGGAGGCAGCAGUGGGGAAUAUUGCACAAUGGGCGGAAGCCUGAUGCAGCAACGCCGCGGGCGGGAUGACGGCCUUCGGGUUGUAAACCGCUUUCGCCUGUGACGAAGCGUGAGUGACGGUAAUGGGUAAAGAAGCACCGGCUAACUACGUG
This 468-nucleotide ribosomal RNA is filed under the name uncultured bacterium. RNAcentral's name for it is "partial 16S ribosomal RNA". It matches the Rfam family "Bacterial small subunit ribosomal RNA", at positions 28 to 507 of the family's 1533-position model. The record is from RNAcentral.